RNAcentral lists this long non-coding RNA (1461 nucleotides) under Triticum aestivum (bread wheat). Its description in RNAcentral is "long non-coding RNA (TAES_LNC018534)". The record is from RNAcentral. Lineage: Eukaryota; Viridiplantae; Streptophyta; Magnoliopsida; Poales; Poaceae.
UGCUGUGUCAAGUCCACAACAUCACCAUGCAUGUAGGUGUACUUGGUUCAUCUUCGGGUUCAGGUGUAGGGGUUAGUGGCCUUAAGCAUUAACCAUUUAAUCCUGAUGAAUGCUGCUUGUUUUGCACAGGCUGACAAGGACAAUGACAGGUCUACGCACAGAUGACUCUGCAACCAAUAAACUCUAAGUACUGUCGGAAAGGGAGCUUGGUGAAGAUAUUCAUGACAUGCUGAACUGCGUUUUCUCUACAUGUGCUUUUAUCGGUUUGCAUGCUGCAUGUUUGAUGUUUUGCCUGAGCUGCGGACGAAAUGGUACUGAAUGCCUGAAAGUAAUGUUAACAAUGUUCAGUUUAAGUGUACAUUUCGAGAUCAGUGCCAGUGUUUAUAAACACUCAAAAUCUGUACAGUAUUUCUUAGAUUAACGAGUGCUUACUGUAUAAUUUAGGAAAGUUUUAAUAAUACUACAGCAGAUGCUAAUUAAAUCAGGAAGUGAAGCACUACCAAACGUACCGUAUACAAUGUUCAGUUCAAGUUUAAUUUUUAGUUUAGUGCCAGAGUUUAUCAUCAACCCAAAAAAUAUAUAUCUGAUUUUCACAUUGACGAGUAUUACUGCUUACUUCUCCCAUUCCUUGGUUGAAGACUCUGUUUCGAACCGAGCCUUGCAGCAAGGAGGGAAUGGUUGCGUCUGUUUUGUGCUUGGACGCCUUCUCCUAGUUGUGCUAAAAUUGAGGUGCAUGUUUAAUUAACAAGCACCUUUCAUCCCCACUGUGACAGUAAUGCAUUGAGGUGCCUCUGGACUGUAGUGUCUUAGGUUGCCAGGAGUAGUAAAACUUAGUGUUGUAUUGAGGAUUGAGGGUGGCUGGGCUUAUAAGUUAAUCAUCAGCGUGAAUGCUUUGUUUGUCUGAUACUCACAAGUUAAUGCUUCGCUCGUCUGGGUGUGUGAUAAUGCCAUGUGUCUUGUGCAAUCAGAUUACAUUUCUGUUUGUUAUGGUAAUAUAAAAAAUAUUCAUGCUGUCAAAAUUUUCACAGUGUGUGCCUUUCAUUUCUUUAGUUUGAUUGUUUCCCUUGUAUUCAAUAUGCUUCUAGUGGCUGAUCCUUCCAUUUUUGUUGUGGCAUCUUUAUUUUCACAGGUGUUGUGUGUUCUGGAAGAUGGAAGAGGAAGAAAACCUAUUUUUGUUGAACUAAAUUUUUUGUAUUCUGUUUUGUUGUACGUAUCAUUUGAUAGUUCUGUAUAGGAACAAGUGAUACUAUUUUGUAGGGCUUUAUGGCCUGUGAUGUAAAACAUAUUUAGUGCUGAAAUAUGAAAUUAUUUGCAAAAUUUGUCGAAAAGGAGGAUCAUAUGUAUGAAUAUGUGAAUGGGGUGAAAAGAGUAUUGGACCAACUCUAGGAUUGAAUUAUUAUUUGAAUGUAUAAAAAGGCUGAAUGUAAACCAGAAAUGGGCUGCACAAAAUUGUACAUAUAU